UGGGGAAUAUUGCACAAUGGGCGCAAGCCUGAUGCAGCCAUGCCGCGUGUGUGAAGAAGGCCUUCGGGUUGUAAAGCACUUUCAGCGGGGAGGAAGGCGAUAAGGUUAAUAACCUCAUCGAUUGACGUUACCCGCAGAAGAAGCACCGGCUAACUCCGUGCCAGCAGCCGCGGUAAUACGGAGGGUGCAAGCGUUAAUCGGAAUUACUGGGCGUAAAGCGCACGCAGGCGGUCUGUCAAGUCGGAUGUGAAAUCCCCGGGCUCAACCUGGGAACUGCAUUCGAAACUGGCAGGCUAGAGUCUUGUAGAGGGGGGUAGAAUUCCAGGUGUAGCGGUGAAAUGCGUAGAGAUCUGGAGGAAUACCGGUGGCGAAGGCGGCCCCCUGGACGAAGACUGACGCUCAGGUGCGAAAGCGUGGGGAGCAAACAGG
This 429-nucleotide ribosomal RNA is filed under the name Chloroflexota bacterium. RNAcentral's name for it is "Chloroflexi bacterium partial 16S ribosomal RNA". It matches the Rfam family "Bacterial small subunit ribosomal RNA", at positions 355 to 776 of the family's 1533-position model. The record is from RNAcentral. Lineage: Bacteria; Bacillati; Chloroflexota.